Molecule: non-coding RNA, 683 nt
Organism: Macaca mulatta (Rhesus monkey)
Lineage: Eukaryota; Metazoa; Chordata; Mammalia; Primates; Cercopithecidae
Source: RefSeq, a predicted model, not a curated record
CACCAUAGGCUGGCCCUAGCUCUUUAUUUUUAAUUUCAGUUUUCAUUUGGUUUUACUUUUAUUUAUAGUACUUUUUCAGUAUCACAAAUGUUGAUGUUUUUAUGUGACUAAAUCCAUUCAACUUUUUCAUUAUGAAUUUUUGCAUUAUGAUUUUUGUUUUAUUACAGUAUAUUGUAAGUUUUUUAUUGUUGUUAAUUUCUUACUGUGCCUAACACAAAUUAAACUUUAUCAUAGGUAUGUAUGCACAGGAAAAAUCACAGUACAUAUGGAGUUCAGUUAUAUUCGUGGUUUCAGGCAUCCACUGGAGGUCUUGGACCGUAUCUCCCAAGGAUAAGGGGGCACUACUGUACACCAAUUUUACAGAUGAGGACGGUGUAAACCCCGUCUCUACUAAAAAUAGAAAAAUCAGCCAGGCGUGGUGGCAGGCGCGUGUAAUCCCAGCUACUUGGGAGGCUGAGGCAGGAGAAUCGCUUGAACCCGGGAGGCAGAGAUUCCAGCGAGCCGAGAUUGCGCCAUUGCACUCCAGCCUGGACAAUAAGAGUGAAACUUCGUCUCAAAAAAACAAAAAAAAAAAUGGUUUUAGAUUUACAGAAGAAUUGUGAGGAUAGUACAGAGUGCCCAUUUACCCCACACCCAGUUUUUCCUAUUAUUAACAUCUUAUUAAAGCCCAUACUUUAUUCUGA